GCAGCCCCUAUCUCACACUACAGCCCUACCGCUAAAUGUAGACCCUAGAGCCCCUAUAAUCCAAUUCCAGCCCAUAUCCUCCACACUACCUGCACUAUCCCUCACACUGCACCCCUAUCCUCCACUUUUAGCCCUUAUCCCCUACUACAACCGCCAUUCCCUUACUACAGUCCCUAAAUCCACUUACAGUCCCUCCCCUCUACAAACCCUCUCCUCCAAUUGCAGCCCAUACCUCCCACACUACAGCCCCUUUCUGGCCAUUCUAAGGCCCGGUAAGACGUUACCUUUUAGUCCUAGGUGUGAAACAGUUCUACGUGCUGGAUCAACUAGUAAACCUGACAAUAACCACCCUUACCUGGGGGUUUCAAAAAUAUUCUUGCACCAAGGCAUCAGUGACCCUAGGAUCGGCC
Pelobates cultripes (western spadefoot toad) is the source of this 410-nucleotide non-coding RNA. NCBI's taxonomy places the organism in Eukaryota, Metazoa, Chordata, Amphibia, Anura, Pelobatidae. The record is from the annotation of a GenBank genome assembly.